GAAAACAAAGGUACGAUCAAUGCACUAGUACAAACCUUUCUAAAACUAAUGAAUUCAAGUGUAAAUAUGCAGACAGAACGCUAAGUGCCAUUCGGUAAAUCGUGUAAAAAUAAAUAGGUAAUAGUGCAACUCUAAAUAAUAAUAUACUAAUCAAUGCUUCCAUGAAUAUUUUACAAUCAUUAUUAGUAAUAAAACUGACAAAGAGUUGUUCGAGAACGAUACGAGGACAGCUGCUGGUGUAUAUGUGUU
Molecule: non-coding RNA, 249 nt
Organism: Cinara cedri
Lineage: Eukaryota; Metazoa; Arthropoda; Insecta; Hemiptera; Aphididae
Source: the annotation of a GenBank genome assembly